GAAAACCUAGCAAGAUCGAGGUCAAGGUGGAAGACAAGGAAGAACUCGAAGGAGCUCGCAAAUCCACCUCCACUUCCACCACCACCACCACCACCACCUCCGCCACCUCCACUCCCACUGCAUCUACCACUCUCCUCCACCACUUCGACCGCGCCAAAGACCCCUCCGCCAAACCCCAACGCAUCGGCCUCUCCUCCUAAACCUCAACCCUAAUCCAAUCCCCAAUGGAGGUCGAGGUCAAGAUCCGCCUCCCAGAUUCCUCCACCCACCGCGCCGUCUCCGCUCUCCUCUCAUCGUUUCACCGCGAAACCCAGCGCCAACAGAACCUCUUUUUUGACGGCGCCGCCGGUGAGCUCUCCUCCCGUCGCGCCGUCCUCCGCCUCCGAUUCUACGGUGACGAUGCC
Molecule: long non-coding RNA, 404 nt
Filed under: Vitis vinifera (wine grape)
Lineage: Eukaryota; Viridiplantae; Streptophyta; Magnoliopsida; Vitales; Vitaceae
Description: long non-coding RNA (VVIN_LNC003447)
Source: RNAcentral